This 74-nucleotide transfer RNA is filed under the name Streptomyces phage Jay2Jay. RNAcentral describes it as "tRNA-Arg". It matches the Rfam family "tRNA". From Rfam's summary of the family: Transfer RNA (tRNA) molecules are approximately 80 nucleotides in length. Their secondary structure includes four short double-helical elements and three loops (D, anti-codon, and T loops). Lineage: Duplodnaviria; Heunggongvirae; Uroviricota; Caudoviricetes; Stanwilliamsviridae. RNAcentral also lists the same sequence under 3 other names. The record is from RNAcentral.
GCCCUUUUAGCUCAUUGGAUAGAGCGAUGGUCUUCGAAGCCAUGCGUAGGGAGUUCGAUUCUCUCAAGGGGCGC